UGGGGAAUUUUGGACAAUGGGCGAAAGCCUGAUCCAGCAAUGCCGCGUGUGUGAAGAAGGCCUUCGGGUUGUAAAGCACUUUUGUCCGGAAAGAAAUCCUUGGCUCUAAUACAGUCGGGGGAUGACGGUACCGGAAGAAUAAGCACCGGCUAACUACGUGCCAGCAGCCGCGGUAAUACGUAGGGUGCAAGCGUUAAUCGGAAUUACUGGGCGUAAGCGUGCGCAGGCGGUUUGCUAAGACCGAUGUGAAAUCCCCGGGCUCAACCUGGGAACUGCAUUGGUGACUGGCAGGCUAGAGUAUGGCAGAGGGGGGUAGAAUUCCACGUGUAGCAGUGAAAUGCGUAGAGAUGUGGAGGAAUACCGAUGGCGAAGGCAGCCCCCUGGGCCAAUACUGACGCUCAUGCACGAAAGCGUGGGGAGCAAACAGGAUUAGAUACCCUGGUAGUCCACGCCCUAAAACGAUGUCAACUAGUUGUUGGGGAUUCAUUUCCUUAGUAACGUAGCUAACGCGUGAAGUUGACCGCCUGGGGAGUACGGUCGCAAGAUUAAAACUCAAAUGAAUUGACGGGGUCAUAGCUGUUUCCU
RNAcentral lists this ribosomal RNA (585 nucleotides) under uncultured bacterium. RNAcentral's name for it is "partial 16S ribosomal RNA". It matches the Rfam family "Bacterial small subunit ribosomal RNA", at positions 355 to 1375 of the family's 1533-position model. The record is from RNAcentral.